AAACCCCUCUCAACUGCCCGGCGAUCCCCACAACAAAGCUCAAGCACGCAAUCCCUCAGAUCUACUCCGCCGCGCCCGCCGCCGCCGGAGGUCCUCUCUCCCCUCUAUCCCCGCCGCAUUCCCCGCCAUGGCUCAGGUCGUCGCUACUCGAUCCCUCACCCCCACCUCCCCAUGCCCUAGAUCCGCAGCCUUAGCCGAGCUCAAGCCGUCAAUUCUCCCGGCAAGUCUCCGCUCAGCUCAACUGCGGAGCCUCAACAAGCCCCGCCGCUCCUCGGUCGUUGCCGCGGUCACCGUCGUCCCCGUCUCGCCCGAAGACCUCAAGGAGG
Molecule: unclassified non-coding RNA, 326 nt
Filed under: Hevea brasiliensis (rubber tree)
Lineage: Eukaryota; Viridiplantae; Streptophyta; Magnoliopsida; Malpighiales; Euphorbiaceae
Source: RNAcentral